Equus caballus (horse) is the source of this 6404-nucleotide non-coding RNA. NCBI's taxonomy places the organism in Eukaryota, Metazoa, Chordata, Mammalia, Perissodactyla, Equidae. The record is from RefSeq and is a predicted model, not a curated record.
UCAGUGGCAUUAAGUACAUCCACAUUGUUGUGCUAACAUCACCAUCAUCCAUCCACAGAACCCUUUUCAUCUUGCAAAAUGAAACUAUACCCAUUAAGCACUAUCUCCCCAUUUCCCCCUUCUCCCAGCCCUUGGCAAUCACUGUUCUACUUUCUGUCUCUCUGAAUCAGCAAAUACUGUUUUUGUUUUGAGGACUUCAGAGCUCUUCACUACAAAGGAGCAAACAGAACAAACGUAAACGUCAGCAAUGUAACGCCUGUGUAGCAGAAGCUCCACCUUUCCUCUCUUUCCAGAUGGUUUAUUGUCAAUCUGUUGUAGAUGGGGAACACCAGGAAGUGCAGUCUUGCUGUCUCUUAUUCCUGGGGGUGGGGGUGGGGUGUCUUGGCUGCUGCAGGGCUUCAGGUCCUCCGAACCCCCGCCCCCUGCAGCUGGUGAUACCCAGGUCUCCAGCUCUAAUCCACAGAGUGGCCCAUUCUUCAGCCAGUCUUUGCGAGGAUGGAGGACCCUGAAUGAUGACAUGGUUGGUCAUUGCUCCUUUCUCUAGGACCUCCUUCCUUGCUGCUCUUCCUCAGGUGAUACCUACUCAGGACCGUUAUGGAUUUGGGUAGUUGAUUGACCUGCUCAGUAUAGAAGAAGGGAUCAAAGGUUGUAGGUUGAUCCAACUCACUCAUUACCUCAUUUCUCAGAGAUAUUUUCUUUGGGCACUACUCUUAGCGAGAGCAGGCAUCUCUUACCCCUGCCUCUUACUCCUUUUCUCUUCCUUCUCCAGCCCCAUCUUUCAAGCUUCCUGUCCUGGUGACCUGCACCUUCCCUUGGGAAGUGCUGCUUCCAUCCUCUGGGGGGAAAGAUUCUGCUCCCUCAUCCCCUUUUGUGUCUUGCACACUUCAGCUCAUCAGGCUUGUUGGCAGCUAAUGGAGUACCCUUCCUGCGGGGAGGGGGUGGACCCUGGGCCUUGUUGCAUGCAGGAGGCUUGCUGGGCUGGAGAAGUGGGAAACUCAGCAGUCCCUUCUCCCUUGGGGCCUGGAUGGGCUUGGAUGAGCAAGACUUUGAGGAGCACUAAGGGCAGCUUUCAGGCUCUCCCUGAAAGGCUGAAUGGGCCCUGUCCUGGCAGAGGCAUUCACUUCACAGUACUGUGUUUUGUUUUUCAUCACUAGGAUCGCUCUGUAAGACAAGUGUGUGUGUGCACGUGUGUGCGUGUGUGUGUGAAAUUCUUAGAGCUGCCCUCUUUGUUGAGCAAUAAAACUGAAAACCAUCACCAGCUCAGAUUUACAUCCUGAAAUCACAGCCUGUCUGAUAGAGCCUUCCUUAGGUUCAGCCACAGCUUGCUUUAUAGUCAGACGCUGAUACGCUUCACGUUUCUCUUACUGAAGUGACAAGGCACAGGCAGAUUAGGAAUUUAUGGUAAAACAAACUAUUGGAGGCAUUAUACUCACUAGAAUUUCACAUUUAAUUUUGUUAUUUUUACUUUCUUACAUCAGGCCUUUUAAAUCCUGGAAGGACAGCAGACAUUUGGGAUUUUUUUUCUUUUGUUCUGUUUGGAAAUAAAUUCCCUUAGUGUGACAGUUCAGACAAGCUGUUUGGACUGCCACCGUGGAACACUCCGGAGGUGGAUGGGGAGGAGGCCUCUUGACUCCAUGACAGGCAGGCUGGCCUGUCAGAGCUCCUGAUGCCUGCUUUGUGCAGCUAUGUGGAAACAUUUGCUGUAUCUCAAAUGGGUCAGCAGAUGCUUCAACCGAUUACUAUAUGUUUUUGCUGAAAUAAUAAUAGCGCACAUCACAUGUGAGGUUUCCCUGCCUUGUGAUGAUUAGAGCAGGAGCCUGUGGGGUCGGUCUGCCUGGGUUUGGAUACAAGUUUCACUCUGUAUUAGGCAAAUUACUUAGCCCUUUGGUAGCUCUGUUCUUCCAUUUGUAAAAGGGGGAUAAUGGCACCCACUUAUUAGGGUUGUUGUAAAGAUGAUAUGAGUUAAUACCUAAAAAGUGCUGAGGGUAGUGGCUGAGGCAUGGAAAAUGCUCAGUUAAGCUGCUUUUACCAUGACAUCUAAGAGCACCUGAGAGACAAAGCUCUUACUGAAGGUUUUGCUUCUGUGUUAGACAGAAUCAUGGGACAGCAUAAGUAUGAUGUCGAGGUCUUUUAGAUAGGCUGUCUUUUGUGGCGCUCUUCUCUGCAUCUCUCCCCACCUUCCAACCUGGGGUAUUAACAUUCUGCCUCCCCUCAGUGACUCUCAGGAGAGGCCAACCACCCUGAGCUGUAAAUUUCCCAGGGACAUAUGCAUUUUAACAAAGGACAAAAGGAUGAAUAGAAUGGAGGACAGUAUUUGGGGGACUGGCUAAUGACUUCCUAGACCCCUGACCAGAAGUCUAUGAGAAAGGCGGAUGGGGGAAGAGUAAGGAAAGUUGCCCAGUCAUCAAGUGACACCCAAAAUGCACCUUACUGAAGUUAUUUGCCCCACAUAUUUUGCCAAAUAGAGAUUCUUUGCUUUACAAACUCCUCAGGCAUUUGUAUAUCUUAUAUACACGUUUGUAUAAAUUACUUUAGAUAAUUCAGAUUGCUUUCUUCUGAAAAUCUAGCAGAGCUCUGAUUCGGAAGGCCUAGGUGUUUUGUUUGUGGAACAAGGCGGAGGAAGGAAGAUGUGUUGGGAAUGUGGUUCUCCGGAGGAGGGUUGGUUUGGGUGGGGUGCUGUAGUGGGGGCUACGGCCGGAGGCAGCUUGUGAGCCUUGUGUUUCUGAGGGCCAAGGAGAAGGAAAAGGGAAAUGGGGUCAGAAUUCAGAAGAGGUGAAAGUCUGCCAAAGACAGUGCAGGUGGAGAGAUUGUCCUUGGACAUGCCUGGGUCAAACCUCAGCUCUUUUCCAGCUGAUGCCUCUGCAUAUUAGGGCAGUUAUUUCAUUCCCUAAUGAUGGGAUUUUUCUCUUUUGGAGCCUAAUCAACUAUCUGAUGCUAUGACUUAAUUUCUGUGGUUUAACAUUUUUUAUUUCCAAAGAAGAGCAGGAUUUUGGAAAGUGAAUCCCUUUAUUCUUUUAGCAUUUCACUUCUUUCUGGUGUUAAAGGUGGGUAGAGAAGUUUAUUAGUUUGCUAGGGCAGCCGUAACAAAAUGCUGCAAACUGGGUGAUUUAGAACAGAAAUUUAGCAUCUCACAGUUCUGGAGAGCAGAAGUCCGAGGUCAAGAUGUCAGCAAGGCUGGCUCCUUCUGAAGGCUGUGAGGGAGAAAUUUGUUCCAUCUCUCUCUCUUAGCUUCUGGUGGUUGUCUUCUCCCUGUGUGUCCUCACAUUGUCUUCCCUCUAUGCCUGUCUGUUUCUGUGUCCAAAUUUCCCCUUUUUCUAUGGAGACCAGUCACAUUGGUUUAGAGGCCCAUCUUACUCCAGUAUGACUUUAUCUUAACUAAUUACAUUUAUAAUGACCCUAUUUCCCAAUAAAGUCACAUUCUGAGGUACUGGGGUUAGGACAAGGACCAGUUAUCGCCAGCUGCUGUUACUUUGUUGGAGGCAAUAUCAGCAUGUCAUAUGUUUCCAUCUUUCCCUCCAAGGUGUCCGCAUAUCUCGCCACCAUUUAAUAAUAAAUAAAAUUUGAGGAUAAAUUUUGGGGAUGUCUUUACUAGCUUCUCCAUCAUAUGGGCAGGUAUAGACUGUAUUGAACGAGUGUAACACUAUCCCUGGUGCUCCCAGAGCAGCCAUUUCUCUCUCAUACAUUUGACUCAGUGUUCAUGGGCCCAUUUUCAGACAUAAUUGUACAUCUGAAAUUAUGGCAUUAAGCUGACUGUGGUGGAAGGAAGGGGUUUUCAGUUUACCCAGUGGUUUCCAGUUGUCUGAGCAUCUGGACUGCUCUCAAGAAGAGGACCUCUUAUUGGAGUAAAUGUGGGCCUGCUCACCAGACUUCUGAUUUGAAGAGGAUGGUUGGUGCCCACAAGAAACCAAAAGAAGCCAAACAAAACCCAGGACCCCUAGAAAACACUGGUAAGUUUAAGGAGGUAUGCUGCAGAAAAAAACAUGGAAGAACCAUUUGGAAAUUUAUCUAAUUUAAUCCUAUGGUAAGCUCCUUACCACUAAGAAACUCCUUCGAGUGAGUGGAACACAGCAAGUUUUAAAGAACUUUUUACAUUUCUUUGACUGAAGUCUUGUACUGGGAAUUUAUCUUAAGGAGAUGAUUGAACAAGUAAAUAGGGAUUUAUGUAUAAGAAUGUUCAUUUCAGUGUCUUUAUAACAACCAAAACCCAGAAAUCAUUUAAACACCCAAUAGUAGGGGACCAAUUAAAUAAAUUAUGAUGUUAUGUCAAUUCACUGGAAUGUUAUGUAGUUAUUAAAAUGAUGUAGAAUCUAUUGAUAUUGACAUACAUUUAUAAUUUAUUGUUAAAGUUACAGAAUCGUAUGUAUAAAUGCAACAUUUUUAUAGGAAAAAUUGUUUUCACAAGCCUAGAAAAAAGUAUAGAAAGAUAUACAGCAAAAUAUUGAUGGUGAUUAUCUUAGGAGAUUGGGUUAUGAAUUACCUCUAUUAAAAAUAUUUUUCCACAUUUUCUGAAUUUUUUACAAUAAGUAUGCAUUAUUUUUAUAAUAAAAAUUUUAAUGAGUCAAUAUGAAAAUUACCUUUGGAGGCUCUGGAUAGCUACUUUACAUCUGGAAAUUUUGGUUUUCUCAGCUCAAUAGUUCUUGAACAACCGGCCCCAUUUAGAUUCUGACAUCAUAAACCUCUAUACUUUUGAUCAAGAGGCUUACAUUUAAUAAAGCUCAAGGACUACCUACUGCUCCCAGAACUGUUCAAAGCCCAUUUUACCUGGUGAGUUCUGAUCUUCUCUAGAUUGCUGGGGGUACACGCAUGGGAUUGACUAGGAAGGAGCAUGAAGAGGACUUGCUGGAAUGAUGGUCAUGUUCUAUAUCUUAAUACUUACUAGUGGUUUGGGUUACACAACUGUAUGCAUUUAUCAAAGCUUUUCCAAUGAUAUAUUUAAGAUUUGUGUGUUUCAGUGUGUGUAGAUUUUACCAAAAAGGGAAAAAAAAAUCAUACAAAAUGCUUAACUCUAAUUAAAGAUAAUGCAUGCGUAAGUGUCUAGGGACGCAGUGUUUUGAUGUCUGCAACUUACUCUGAAGUGUUUCCAAAAAUCAAGAUGUGUUGAUGAAUGGGUAGAAGGAUAGGUACGUGGAGAUCUAUAUGUGAAAAAGCAAGUUAAUAAAAUGCUAUUUAUGAUAUCUAAAUGGUGGGCAUAUGGUUUUUCACUAUAAAAUUGUUUCAACUUUUCUGGAAGUUUGAAAAUUUUAUAAUAAAAUGUUGAUAAAAAAGUAUUUGACAAUUGUUACUGAGUGUGCAAUUUGUUCUGACUUCUUCCUGUCACAGAUUAGUUUUGCCUAUUCUGGAAUUUACAGUUAGAAUAGUUCUAGGAUAACACAACUGCUUUUGAGAAUGAAAGGGAGUUUUUCUUUUAUUAGUAACACUGUAAAUUUCUGAGAUGAUGAAACGUGGCCCUCAGGGUUCUAAAGUACAUAGAAUCAUAGAUUAUUAUCAGUGGGUAUUGUCCUGGGCAGAGCAGUAGUUUACCUCUGGGUCUGGUCGACAAGAGAUAGCUUGAACUAUGUUCUUGGGCAAGUCACUUCCAUUAAAUUUUCUCCUUUGUGGAAUGAAAAGUGAAAAGCUUUUGGAAGGGAACCUGGUGAGCAAUCAAAUAAACACAAGUUUGCAAGUGUCUGGCCAAAGAUUAUUUGUUAGUCAGCUGAAAGCAAGGAGACACUCUGCUGGCUGGCUGCCCCCAGGGACAGGGGCACAUCCUGCACAGAGGCCCCAGCUGGGAAGGAGGGGCAGGGGAAGAACAGUGACCCUCAAGGAGGGGUGGGCAGGCCACGGACCACUUCACCUUAGGCAUUUCUUUUUUUCUCUUUUUCUCCCUUUGCCUUCUCUGUCCUCUUGACCUUUAAUUUCCUUUCUUUUCUUUCUCUUCCUUUUCUGUCAUUCCCCUGUGGCAGCCAAACAUUUUGGUGCCUUUGCUUGCAGCUCCUACAGUCGGCCAGACGCUCUAGGCUUUGGGGUGUUUCCUUCCCACAGCCCUCUGGAGAGUGUAACGACAAUUUCUCCACACCCACUGGGUUGCUCGGCUUUGCCGUCCCACUUAGCAGGGCUGGGGAAGUGAGAGCUGCUAACCCGCCGAGGCUGUGAGUCAGCAUUUCUCCCCAUGGACGCAGGCCUGGGGAGAGACCCUGGGAGAGGAUGUGGAGGAGGCAUGAAUGCAGGCCUGGUGUCCCUCUUCUCUGCUGUGAUCUUACCUGGGGAUGUAUAUCAGUUUAUCAUGCCAUGUUGUAUUAAAAGAAUCCAUGAACAGAGGAGAACCCUGAGACCAGAAGACUUAUAUUAUGAAUCUCACAUUACAUUGUAAUUAUUUUGUCUUUAAAUAAUUAAUUGUCUUUUAAUGAAUUAAAUGAUUAAGAGGU